GAGUUUGAUUCUGGCUCAGGAUGAACGCUAGCGAUAGGCUUAACACAUGCAAGUCGAGGGGCAGCGAGGGUAGCAAUACCUGUCGGCGACCGGCGCACGGGUGAGUAACGCGUAUGUAACCUGCCCGCAACAGGGGGAUAACCCGGCGAAAGUCGGACUAAUACCGCAUAAAACAGGGGUCCCGCAUGGGAAUAUUUGUUAAAGAUUUAUCGGUUGCGGAUGGGCAUGCGUACCAUUAGGUAGUUGGUGAGGUAACGGCUCACCAAGCCUUCGAUGGUUAGGGGUUCUGAGAGGAAGGUCCCCCACACUGGUACUGAGACACGGACCAGACUCCUACGGGAGGCAGCAGUGAGGAAUAUUGGUCAAUGGGCGAGAGCCUGAACCAGCCAAGUCGCGUGAAGGAUGACUGCCCUAUGGGUUGUAAACUUCUUUUACAAGGGAAUAAAAUGAGAUACG
This 456-nucleotide ribosomal RNA is filed under the name Tannerella forsythia. RNAcentral describes it as "bacterial SSU rRNA". It matches the Rfam family "Bacterial small subunit ribosomal RNA", at positions 9 to 460 of the family's 1533-position model. The record is from RNAcentral. Lineage: Bacteria; Pseudomonadati; Bacteroidota; Bacteroidia; Bacteroidales; Tannerellaceae.